UACUUGACGCAAGUCGAGUAUUUUUACAAACAAUGUGUAAUGAACGUCGUUUUAUUAUAACAAAAUAAAACUUUCAACAACGGAUCUCUUGGCUCUCGCAUCGAUGAAGAACGCAGCGAAUUGCGAUAAGUAAUGUGAAUUGCAGAAUUCAGUGAAUCAUCGAAUCUUUGAACGCAGCUUGCGCUCUCUGGUAUUCCGGAGAGCAUGCCUGUUUCAGUGUCAUGAAAUCUCAACCACUAGGGUUUCCUAAUGGAUUGGAUUUGGGCGUCUGCGAUUUCUGAUCGCUCGCCUUAAAAGAGUUAGCAAGUUUGACAUUAAUGUCUGGUGUAAUAAGUUUCACUGGGUCCAUUGUGUUGAAGCGUGCUUCUAAUCGUCCGCAAGGACAAUUACUUUGACUCUGGCCUGAAAUCAGGUAGGACUACCCGCUGAACUUAAGCAUAUCAAUAAGCGGAGGAAAAGAAACUAACAAGGAUUCCCCUAGUAACGGCGAGUGAAGCGGGAAGAGCUCAAAUUUGAAAUCUGGCAGUCUUCGAUUGUCCGAGUUGUAAUCUAUAGAGGCGUUUUCCGUGCCGGACCGUGUCCAAGUCUCCUGGAAAGGAGUAUCAAAGAGGGUGAUAAUCCCGUACUUAACACGACCACCGGUGCUCUGUGAUACGUCUUCUACGAGUCGAGUUGUUUGGGAAUGCAGCUC
Molecule: ribosomal RNA, 691 nt
Filed under: Trichosporon asahii
Lineage: Eukaryota; Fungi; Basidiomycota; Tremellomycetes; Trichosporonales; Trichosporonaceae
Description: eukaryotic LSU rRNA
Rfam family: Eukaryotic large subunit ribosomal RNA (bases 399-691)
Source: RNAcentral